This 497-nucleotide ribosomal RNA is filed under the name uncultured bacterium. RNAcentral's name for it is "partial 16S ribosomal RNA". It matches the Rfam family "Bacterial small subunit ribosomal RNA", at positions 28 to 507 of the family's 1533-position model. The record is from RNAcentral.
GAUGAACGCUGGCGGCGUGCCUAAUACAUGCAAGUCGAGCGAACGGACGAGAAGCUUGCUUCUCUGAUGUUAGCGGCGGACGGGUGAGUAACACGUGGAUAACCUACCUAUAAGACUGGGAUAACUUCGGGAAACCGGAGCUAAUACCGGAUAAUAUUUUGAACCGCAUGGUUCAAAAGUGAAAGACGGUCUUGCUGUCACUUAUAGAUGGAUCCGCGCUGCAUUAGCUAGUUGGUAAGGUAACGGCUUACCAAGGCAACGAUGCAUAGCCGACCUGAGAGGGUGAGCGGCCACACUGGAACUGAGACACGGUCCAGACUCCUACGGGAGGCAGCAGUAGGGAAUCUUCCGCAAUGGGCGAAAGCCUGACGGAGCAACGCCGCGUGAGUGAUGAAGGUCUUCGGAUCGUAAAACUCUGUUAUUAGGGAAGAGCAUAUGUGUAAGUAACUGUGCACAUCUUGACGGUACCUAAUCAGAAAGCCACGGCUAACUACGUG